RNAcentral lists this ribosomal RNA (253 nucleotides) under uncultured bacterium. Its description in RNAcentral is "partial 16S ribosomal RNA". It matches the Rfam family "Bacterial small subunit ribosomal RNA", at positions 524 to 776 of the family's 1533-position model. The record is from RNAcentral.
UACGUAGGGGGCAAGCGUUGUCCGGAAUUAUUGGGCGUAAAGAGCGUGUAGGCGGCCAGAUAAGUCCGCUGUGAAAUCUCGAGGCUCAACUUCGAGCUGUCGGUGGAAACUAUCUGGCUAGAGUCCGGAAGAGGAGAAUGGAAUUCCUGGUGUAGCGGUGAAAUGCGCAGAUAUCAGGAGGAACACCAAUGGCGAAGGCAGCUCGCUGGGACGGUACUGACGCUGAGACGCGAAAGCGUGGGGAGCGAACAGG